UGACCUCGGAUCAGGUAGGGAUACCCGCUGAACUUAAGCAUAUCAAUAAACAGAGGAA
RNAcentral lists this ribosomal RNA (58 nucleotides) under Aspergillus terreus. Its description in RNAcentral is "partial 28S ribosomal RNA". The record is from RNAcentral. Lineage: Eukaryota; Fungi; Ascomycota; Eurotiomycetes; Eurotiales; Aspergillaceae.